CAGAGUCAGGCCAAACCAGAGCCAAGGGGAAGGGAGCCAAGGGGACUUGGCCAUGGGAGCAGACACACAAGCUGCGCCCUGGAGCUGAUCGAGUCCCUCGCAGGAGAGGGCUGGGCAGAGGAACCACAACGGCCAUGCGGAAGCCACCCAAGAGCGAUCCAAUGUCUCAUCUCUGCCCUCAAUCAUGGCCUCCGCUGAUGCCAAAGUAAACCCAUUCAGCUUCAGGAGGCUUUUCAGCAAACAAAGCAUAAUUUGUAUGACGGAUCUGUGUGUUACAGAGGAUCACAGGCAUUUGAAAUGACACAACUGGAAGCUAAAUCCAACAGCAGGGGAGACCCUUACCAAGGCAAGGUAAGUGGGCUACCCUCGGCCUCCCUUUCCCUGCUGUUGUUUUGGUAGCUGG
Molecule: long non-coding RNA, 403 nt
Filed under: Pan troglodytes (chimpanzee)
Lineage: Eukaryota; Metazoa; Chordata; Mammalia; Primates; Hominidae
Description: long non-coding RNA NONPTRT014963
Source: RNAcentral